Long non-coding RNA from Clupea harengus (Atlantic herring), 771 nucleotides. The record is from Ensembl. NCBI's taxonomy places the organism in Eukaryota, Metazoa, Chordata, Actinopteri, Clupeiformes, Clupeidae.
CCAACUUUGGCGAACUCAUCGUCAGAGUGCCCCCCACCCCCAUCGCGCCCCCCCAGCUGCUCCGUGCCGGCCCCACGUACCUCAUCAUCCAGCUCAACACCAACUCCAUCGUGGGCGACGGGCCCGUGAUCCGGCGCGAGAUCGAGUACCGGGCCAGCCACUCGCCCUGGACCGAGACGCACAGCGUCAGCUCGCUCACCUACAAGGUGUGGCACCUGGAGCCCGACACCGAGUACCGCAUCAGCGUGCUGCUCACCCGGCCCGGCGAGGGGGGGACCGGACCGCCUGGGCCGGCGCUCAUCAGCAGGACCAAAUGUGCCGAGCCCAUGCGUGCAUUGCGGGGCCUGACGGCCACAGACAUCCAGCCGCGGAAGCUGUCCCUGCUGUGGGAGCCUCUGGGCUACAACCUGACGCGCUGCCACACCUACACGCUCUCCCUGUGCUACCGCUACUCCGCGCCCGUAGGGGUCGCCGGCUCCAGCUCCAGCGCCGGAGCCGUCGGCGUCAGCGGCAGCAGCGGCGGGGUCGCAGGAGGGGCCGGGAGCGGCGGCAGUGGGAGCAACAUCACGGUGAGCGAGUGUCAGCCGCUGGACAGGAACACGUCGCACCACACGCUGCGGGAGCUGCCGCCGUUCCGCGCCGUGCACGUCCAUCUGGUGCUGGCCAACCCCGAAGGCAAGAAGGACGGCCGGGAGGUCACCUUCCAGACAGAGGAGGACAGUGAGUGAACACACACACACACACACACACACACACACACACACACACACA